GUGGGGAAUAUUGGGCAAUGGGCGAAAGCCUGACCCAGCAACGCCGCGUGAAGGAAGAAGGUCUUCGGAUUGUAAACUUCUUUGAUCAGGGACGAAAGAAAUGACGGUACCUGAAGAACAAGCCACGGCUAACUACGUGCCAGCAGCCGCGGUAAUACGUAGGUGGCAAGCGUUAUCCGGAUUUACUGGGUGUAAAGGGCGUGUAGGCGGUUCUGCAAGUCAGAUGUGAAAUUCCCGGGCUUAACCCGGGCGCUGCAUCUGAAACUGCAGAACUUGAGUACUGGAGAGGAUAGUGGAAUUCCUAGUGUAGCGGUAAAAUGCGUAGAUAUUAGGAGGAACACCAGUGGCGAAGGCGGCUAUCUGGACAGUAACUGACGCUGAGGCGCGAAAGCGUGGGGAGCAAACAGGAUUAGAAACCCUUGUAGUCC
This 428-nucleotide ribosomal RNA is filed under the name uncultured bacterium. Its description in RNAcentral is "partial 16S ribosomal RNA". It matches the Rfam family "Bacterial small subunit ribosomal RNA", at positions 354 to 796 of the family's 1533-position model. The record is from RNAcentral.